This is a long non-coding RNA of Vigna radiata var. radiata (mung bean), 779 nucleotides long. RefSeq lists it as uncharacterized. NCBI's taxonomy places the organism in Eukaryota, Viridiplantae, Streptophyta, Magnoliopsida, Fabales, Fabaceae. The record is from RefSeq and is a predicted model, not a curated record. The transcript has 5 exons.
GAGUGUGACCAUAUUAAGUACCUUUUUUUUUUUUUUUUCCUUCACUAAUGAACUAUUGAGAAUGGUCAUUUUUAGACUAUGAUGAUACAAUUUUAUUUUUUUUGUGUAGGCUGACAUAUUGUUGCGAGGAUACUACGGAUGGAACUCUCGACGUGCCCUCCAAGUGCUGGAUCAAGUUUUACCAAAGGAUGUUGCAACCCAGCCUUCUCUUGUGAUAGUUUAUUUCAGAGUUAAUGAUUCCAUGGGCCCUCAUGUUCCUCUUCACGAAUAUAUUGAAAACAUGAGAAAGAUUCUGAUUCAUAUUCAGUUAUGAAAUUUAGUUUGCUUGAGAACGCCGAUUGCAGAAUUAAGACGAAAAGGUGUCAAGAAAAUAUAGUCUGUGGAUAAUAAUGACCACCCUUUCAAAUGGGCUGCUUAUUAAGACGAAAAAGUGCGUGGAAACACUAGUGGAGUUCUUAGUGAGCUGGUAAGAACGAAUGAAUUGUGCCAAAGCUACUCAGAAGCUUGUAUUAAGCUAUGCAAGGAACUGGAUGUCAAAGUUGUUGAUCUUUUUAAUAAUGCAUUACAGAAGAGAGAUGACUGGAGGAAUGCUUGUUUUACUGAUGGUAUCCAUUGAGCAGCUGAGGGAAGCAAAAUAGUGGUGAAAGAUAUACUGAGCGUGCUUAAGGAGGCUGACUGGGAACUACAUUGGAUUCUGAGUGGACUUUUUACAGAGAGACUCAGUGGGAUUAGGUUGUUCGCUUAUUGACUUUAAUAAUAUCUAUUUGCUCUUACCUCUA